Molecule: ribosomal RNA, 489 nt
Filed under: uncultured bacterium
Lineage: Bacteria
Description: partial 16S ribosomal RNA
Rfam family: Bacterial small subunit ribosomal RNA
Source: RNAcentral
AUUGGACGCUGGCGGCAGGCCUAACACAUGCAAGUCGAACGGUAACAGGAAGCAGCUUGCUGCUUUGCUGACGAGUGGCGGACGGGUGAGUAAUGUCUGGGAAACUGCCUGAUGGAGGGGGAUAACUACUGGAAACGGUAGCUAAUACCGCAUAACGUCGCAAGACCAAAGGGGGGGACCUUCGGGCCUCUUGCCAUCGGAUGUGCCCAGAUGGGAUUAGCUAGUAGGUGGGUAACGGCUCACCUAGGCGACGAUCCCUAGCUGGUCUGAGAGGAUGACCAGCCACACUGGAACUGAGACACGGUCCAGACUCCUACGGGAGGCAGCAGUGGGGAAUAUUGCACAAUGGGCGCAAGCCUGAUGCAGCCAUGCCGCGUGUAUGAAGAAGGCCUUCGGGUUGUAAAGUACUUUCAGCGGGGAGGAAGGGAGUAAAGUUAAUACCUUUGCUCAUUGACGUUACCCGCAGAAGAAGCACCGGCUAACUCCGUG